Long non-coding RNA from Corvus hawaiiensis (hawaiian crow), 4401 nucleotides. RefSeq lists it as uncharacterized. The transcript is spliced from 3 exons. Lineage: Eukaryota; Metazoa; Chordata; Aves; Passeriformes; Corvidae. The record is from RefSeq and is a predicted model, not a curated record.
AUUGUCAACCUAAAUCAAAUUUGCUGUCCGUGGUGCUGUUUCCUAUUCUGUGUUGUCCCAACCUACUGAAGAGGAAGGUGGAAAAGCUCUCUUGGUACUACUGCAAAGCACUCACUGUUGAGCUUGAAGCUACAGCUUGGGGAUUUCAAACUGACAGAGAAAUGCUCCAAACUACCAGUCUGCUUUUGAUUUGCCAAAAAGUCUUCUGAGCUAGCAACAGCAGUAUGCUUCUGGUGUGUAAUGAAGAUUAAUCAAGGCUGAUCUGCGGUCAUGACUUCUCUUCAUCCUUCCAUCCAUCCUGAUUUUGUGCUUUAUCCAUAAACUUGGGCUUCCAUAUUAGAUGAAAGAAAAAUCCACAGAUCUCAAUUUACCACGACAAUACAUUCGUAAACUCUGUAGAUGAUUUUUCAAACUGUAGCAAAUCAGUUAACACCCUGAAUUCUGAAGCCCUGUACAAUCUGCAUAAAGCAAUAUAUAACCAGUUAUUAUACUUUCAAAGCUACAGUAGGAGUGUAGUGCUUUAGGUAAAACAGCUGUCGACCAACAAAAAAAUGUAACAAUUCAUUGCACUGUUUGAUCCAAAGCACUGUGUUCUGAUACUCUGAACGUAAGGGCAGGUGAGGAAGGCCUUACAGUGUCUGUGCCAGGCAGCAGUUCACUACUUGUGCCUUGCAGACACAGAGAUCAGAGAUUAGAAUUGCUCAGGAUUCAACCAGAGAGCACCCAAAAUGAAAGCAAAUUUUCUGAGAAAACCAAAUGGAUUUUGCUGACUAUCCUGGACAUACAGGGGGUGCUCUAUUAAUCAAGUCACAAGAAAAUAGUUUAGAACUCAGCAUACUACAUAGACUACAUAAACACCACUACAUUAUAUGCUACUACAUUAACAUUCCUGAGCAUACUGUAUACAUUAACCAUGCAGCAGGCACUUCUGAUGCACGUCUGACAUUCAGAAAUAUAUUCUCAAUAUAUUCAGAAAAAUAUUCCACUCUGAGUUGACAAGGUAUUACUAACCUAAGAAUUAUGAUAGAAAACAAGGGGAGUAUUCAUGUUGCCUACUUCAACAGCCUACAAAACCAGACUAGGCUUCCUGCACUGUAAAUAUAAAGGGAUAAGUAAAUAUCUCAGAGAUUAUUUCAGAGGAUUCAAGCUAAGCAGCAGUGGAAGUCCUCUGGAGGGCAACCAGAGCACUACCUUCCUGCUUACCUUAGCUGCUCUAAAUUGUUCCCUGGAGGUGUCAACUCUACUCUGCUGAUUACAAACAGUGCCCAGACUCCCUAUUUAGAAACCUAAUUUGCUACCUAAAAUCAAAUGUGGUGAAUAAUUCCCGAAGACCUCAAAUUUUCAAAUUGGCCAAGUGAUGGGUUUAAAUUAAAUAUUAACAAGUUUAAAGCUCAAUUUUUGUAACUUCUCCAAAAAAAGGUGCAUCUGAAGCAGUCAACAAUGAAGUUAAUGCCCUGCAGACUGCAGAUCUUCAUGCUGUAUUUAAGCAAAUACAUGCUAACAAUCUGUUACACCCCGCCUAAUGGAUUUUACAUCCCAUACCACCAGUAUAAAUACAAAGCAAUUUCAAUACAAAGAAAUUUCAAUAAUGGAAACUGAUGCAGAAUAAAUAUCAUGCUCAUCGUUUCAUAGACCUGUGUAAAGUAAAUAACACAUAUCCCUUUCCAGUGGGAUUUUUAAGGUAAAAAGUACCUUCUUUUCCUCACCUUGACAUUAAUUUAACAAGAAAUAAAGUCAACAUACUUAUAAAAGAUACAGGAGGACAGCAGUGCAGGUCCAUCUCUUUUUCAGCAUAUACUGUAUGAUCAGUGGUCAUACAGACUUUUUCAUAAUGACUGCAUACUUGAGCCUCUUUUCAUUAAAAGAAAAAGACAUCGGUACUGAGCUUUCUCUUGUAUUAACUACCAGUUCAAAAUUUAGCUAUCUAGGGUAGGUUAGUCAUCUAGGUCUCCCUCUGUCGUCAGUAGAGUGGCAGGUACUUCCAGAAGAUGAGUCAUCUCAUCUAUUUUAGACACAUCUUAGAACUGUAUGAAUCACUCUGAAAAUCCUUCUCCCCACAGUUACAGAGGAAGCCUAGACAACUAUCUUAGCCAGGACACUUAACUUUUUGCCAGCUAAGGCAGGUGCCUGGUACUUGGUGUUCUUGCAGAAAGGAUGUAAGUUUAAAAAGUGUUUCUUUGAAUGUAGACAUGUGUCAACUGAUGGCAAUAUAGAAUCAUGUUCAUGCUGAGCUACGAGACCAUAACAGCAUUAAAUCAGUAUUAGCCUGCCUUGUUACUGACCUUGAGGUGAAAAAUUCCCUAUCCCUCUGCCAACUUUUUGUGCUAACUAAUUCACAGUUGAACACAUUGAUAAGGCAGGUGCAGCUGGGCAAAUAGCCUAGCAAGCAUCGAACCUAUAAAUUAGUGACUGGGCAGUAAAUUUUUUCUAGCCAGUUCAGGUAGUCUUUAAUCCCCAUUGGUUAAUAUCACUUAAUGGUUUUAUAUCAUCCUGAUUUAAAUUUAUACAAGAGUGCUUUCAUACAAAUUCCAUUCAAAAUAUGCAGUUAGAUUCAGAAAAGAAUGAAGUAUUAUGACACUGCUAUAUAUAUAUAUAUAUAUUUUCUUUUUUUUGCCCCACACUUCAAAAUGGGCUAGAGAGGGAAAAGGAAAUCUGCUAAUUAAAUUUUGAAGAGGUCAAAAUAGUGUAACACACACCAAGCUCUAAUUCAAAGACCAUAGGAAGCAGAGCAAUUCGGAUUUGUCAUCCUUUGACACAGACUGUAACAAUGUAGUCAGAAUUUUAAGAGAAACACGCAUCUUUUUCAUUCUUUCUCUCCCUCUAGGGUCACUGCACUGUGAUCUAUUUUUACACGGGAAAUAAAAGGAGUUUCCAUUGUUAAAACAAGUUGGAUGCUCCCAUAUCUCAUAUUCGAUCAGAGAGCAUUUCAGAAAGGCUAGCGUCCUCCUUUCAAUCAGCUUUGAAGCAUUUCUACUGGUUAUAGACAGCGUUCAUCCACAAGAUUAUAAUCAUAAAAACUUCUAUUUUUUAAAAAGUGGGUAAAAAAUGUGACUUCCAAUGACUUACAAAAAAAUGGUAUUGAAAUUAUUUCUUUAAAAAUGCAAAAGCUAGAAAAGACAUAAAAGCAGCAGAAAGAUAAUAGACCUAACCACAUAUCCUCAAAAUUUUAGGGAUACUGAUGUUCAGAUGUUAACUACUUUUUCUUCAAAAUUCCUCUGCAGAAACAGCUCACCAAAUAUGAUGAAUCUAGUGCUAUCUCAUGUUCUUGAAUUUUCCAUCAACUUGAAAUACCAAUUCUGCAUUGCCAGUUUUUUCACUAAGCCCACUGUACAACAAAGGAAAUUUGGAGGAGGAGGGAAGGCAGGAGAGAGAAAGAUGAAAAAAAUGGAGGAAAGGAAAGGGCAGGGAUGGCAGUUGCCUUGUAUUUGACAAUGUCUUCCUGAUUACAGCAGGAGACAACUUUGCAAACCAAACACAAAGUAUAGUUACAAGAACACAGAUCACAUUUCAACCUUGACAUCCUAAGAAGGAACACAAGCUCCACCACCAAUACUGAAUCCCAUGCACCGUCAAGGCUCACGGUUGUGCUACCUUAGGUCCACGCUGCAAACCUCCUUUCUAAAUACUGGUCAGAGUUCAGCCCCGCUGUAUGAAACAUCCAAUAGUUGUAGAAGACCACAAUUCCUGGGAGUCUCCUCUCCUUCCUGUAACACUAGAAACUAUCUGAUAUUCAAAACCAGGGGGUUUUUUGGCCUUACCUCAGCACUCUGUUCACAAAGCCUGUUCCAGUUCUCUGGACAAAUGCGACACUCAAAACUAAGCUUUUAGUUUUGGAUUGAAAAUUUGCCCUUGAAAAAAUAGCAUCCAUUGUCCUGAACAUACAUGCCAAGUAAGUUUUAUUAGAUGUGCAAACAUUUGGGUGAAGAAAUAAAUCUCCUCUGCAUAGCCCAAUAAAACCCUGAAUAUAACUUCAGUGUGUGAAUGCCCUUAGCAGAUCUGUUUCAUAUUGUGUUAAUUCAUACCCAACUGAAGGUGGCUACUGAAUGUAACAAUAUGCACGAUGAUUUAUUUCAAAAUUCCCUUAAUAACACUUUGAGACUGUAUUAUGAAAAAAUAUUAAAAUAAGGACUUAACACACAACAUUAGAGGCUGUUCAUAAGUGCAUGAAGUAGCGAAAAAGGAGAAUUAGUGGUUCAUAAAAUAAUUUAUUUGCAGUUUACAACUCCACCUAAAUCUAGCCCCUUUAAUACAAGGUACCAUGUUUGUAUUUGUCUCAUUUCUUAACAUGUAUUUCAGUGCUGAAAACAGUAAAAUGGUACCAACAUUUUGAACACUACUCUCUUGAUCUUUUCUUGAACAUAGUACAUUAAGUUCUCAUUUUAAACCAGUCCUAAUUACAUU